Molecule: long non-coding RNA, 304 nt
Filed under: Carica papaya (papaya)
Lineage: Eukaryota; Viridiplantae; Streptophyta; Magnoliopsida; Brassicales; Caricaceae
Description: long non-coding RNA (CPAP_LNC013925)
Source: RNAcentral
CCACCGGGCACCACUGCAGUAUGAUCCGGUGCCCCAGACAGAGUACUGCUCAACACCGUCACAGUACAAUUCAGUGGCCCCACCGUAUCAGCAAGUACCACCAUAGGAACCCCCAGUCUACCCUUAGCCUAGCCCAGUCCCUUUUCCACGGGACCCAGUUCCUCCCACAAUUGACCCGGACUACAUAGAGAGGUAUAAGAGACUAAACUCAUCUACUUUUGUAGGGGGAUCCUCUUUUGAAGAUGUCGAGUACUGGUUGGCAGAGACAGAAAAGGCCUUCAAGACCUUAGGGUGACUUCUGAGC